Molecule: non-coding RNA, 2823 nt
Organism: Phoenix dactylifera (date palm)
Lineage: Eukaryota; Viridiplantae; Streptophyta; Magnoliopsida; Arecales; Arecaceae
Source: RefSeq, a predicted model, not a curated record
CUAUAAGUAUCCAUCUCCCCACGACGACGAUGGCCCGCUCUGCCCUCUUGAAAUCUCUCCGACCUGUCUCCUAUGCCCGCUCUUCCCCUCAUGGUAGAAGUCCUCGCUAGGGUUCAGCAGAUGCCCCCGUUGUCCCGCCAAGGUCUUGAUUUCGUCGCCAGAAAGAGGUCUCCAUUUCUUGCGUCUUACGGAAAGAUUGGGUUCUUGUUCAUCUUCUUUGAGGCCUCAUCUACGGGUGAACGGUGCAAGAACGACGACUCCUGAGCAAAGAAGCCUUAUCGGUGUCACCUCAUGUAGGAGCAAGCUACCGAUGAAUGAUUCUUGGUGAAAGAUGAUCGAGAGGUUCUUAUGACUAGAUCCAGAAAGCUUCUCGUGGCAAUAAUUGAAGCCACAGACGAUUAGAUGAGUGGCAAUGAUGAUUUGUUGUACUGUGGCUUUGUGAUCCAUGCUGCCUUCUUAGAAGCCAUGUUUGACGAUGCAUGCACUUUGUAGAGAUGAGAAUUAAUUAUAAUGAUCUAAUUAUAGAUCUCUACCAAAACAAUUAUUUUGACACCUAUAAUAGUUGUCAUGGCUGAUGUUUGCUCGAUGUUCGUGAAAUUAUUUAGGGCAGCAUUUGGCAUGGUUUCCUAUCUCUAGCUUUCUUUUUUUUAAAAAAAAUAAAAUUUAUUAUUAUUAUUAUUUUGGCAAAAAUUGAAAACUUCAAACUUGUUUGGUAAUGAAUAUGACGAUAGAAUGGAGAUAAUAAUGAUCGUGGAAACCAACUUUACUAAAAAAUUAUUCUACCCGAGUUUCUGAUCUCGUUUGGUUAGCAAGAAUAGGAGGAAAGAAAAUAUGGUCAACGAGAAAAAUUUAAGAAAUGCCUCGUAUUUAUAUUUAGUUGAAGUUUUCAAUAGAAAGAAAUGGAAAAGUAGUUUUUUUUUGAAAAUAAAAUUUUUAUAUUUAUAGAAGAAAAACUCAUAUAGCACAUUGGGAAAGCCCAAUAGUUUUCUCUUGGGAUAUUUUUUUCUUUUUAAAAAUGCUCUUAUGCUUUUUAAGUAAAAUAAGAUAAGUUCUUUUUCUAGAUUAUAAAUAUUUUACACAACUUUCCAAAAAAAAGUUAAUGCUCAACCAAACAUAAGCCAUUUUGAAAUGUGUCGCUUUCCGAUAAUUAAUCAAACAUGCAAAAACCAUUUUUUCAAGCAUAAUAUAUUUAGACAUAAUGUAUCUGUGUUCUGUAUACCCCUAAGGUAAUUCUGGCUAUGCAGUCUUCAAUGCAACUUUCUUACACCGAAAGUGUAUUCGCAUAAUCACAUCACACUACUGUUACUAUCAUCAUCAUCCUCAUCAUGUCGUCAUCAUCAUAUUGUUGUUGUUGUUGUUAUAUUAUUAGUGAUUGUUGGCAAAAAACAAUUCACAUUAGGUUAUCACUGUAUUUACUAUUUCAUUCUAUCCUUUGUGGAACUUGAUUUGGCACAAGGAUCGAAUCCCGAGACAUGCUUUCACUGCUUAGAAGGUUCUUAUGGCUAAGUCACUCACUCAGACCGAACUUCAGCACCGAGGAUUCCAGCUUGUCUCUUACUGCUCCCUGUGUUGGGAAGAUCUGCUAUAUCUGGGAGAGUGUCUUGAUUCUUUAGGGUCACAUUCCGUGGUAUCAUAUCUCAACCCCCUUUCGUCAUGGUUUGAAAUCGGUCUUUCACUACAUAUGAAUUUUCUGCUGCUAUAUUUUUCCCAGAUGUCAACUUGCCACCAACAUGUUUGAACUUGUUACUAAUAUAUUUGAAGUUACUUGGUAGCAGGCAUAGAAUGCAGGGCCUGCUAAAAAGGCGACUUAUUUAAGAUGAAUCCUUCAUUUCCUUUUGGUUCACUUGCUCAUUGGGAAAUCAUUUAAUCAAAGGACCUCCAGUUAACAGGGGCUUCAACUUAAUGAGUCAAUGUUGUUGACAUUUAACAAUCAGGCUUCCCUCUAUGAUGAUCCAGCAGAAGUCCAUUGAUCAGAAAAUUAUAUUGAUCAUCUAAUUCUUGGGCUGUGGCCUGUUGAACCAAUGGAUUGAUUUAGGGAUAAUGUAUAACAAUUUAGAAUCAUGUUUCCUCUUACAUUGUAUUUCUUGUAUAAGCCCUAAACUUUGUUAAUCAAUCCUUAAAACAUGGAUUGCUUUAGGGAUAGUGUAUAACAAUCUAGAAUUAUGUUUCAUCUUACGUUGUAUUUCUUGUAUAAGCCCUAAACUUUGUUGACUAUCCUUAAAACAUCAUAUUCUUAAAAUUGAAGUUGGUUUUUCUUUAUGUUUAUGCAGGAUUAACAUUUUGGCAUUGUCCCACUGGAAGCAAUGGCAGCCUGUAAUUGCAUGCAACAGCAGGGGGCCUGUAGAGACAAUUAAACAUGGAGUUACUGAGUUCUCUGCGAUUCCACCUGGAAUUCUUGCGGGCUAUGUCCAGGCUUGUCACUGUUCCUGAGAUGGCAGUAAGGAUGAGUAAGGAGGCAUGGAACCAUGUCAAAUAGAAGUUCUCUACCAAGACCUUUGGAGAACAGCUAAACAUUACGUCCUUGAUGCUUUGCAUCAGAGAAUAGAGUAAGCAAGAAUUGGAGUACCAUUUGGAAAUGGAACCAUCCAUGAUUUGAACUCAGUUUGCUUUGUUGAAGAUGGUCCAGCUCAGUGCAAUUACUUUGUCACCCUAAUUUCGCUAGUGUUACUUUCUUGCGAUCCAAUUCAUACGAUUUUAAUGCUGAUAUUUUCUUUGGGUAUGUGAUCUCUGAAAUGUUCGAAUAAGGGCAAAGUGAACAAUCAUCAUUGACAUGAACAUUGCGUCCCUUCAGAAAGUGCUAUACGAACAUCACAUUCUCAUUUA